RNAcentral lists this ribosomal RNA (254 nucleotides) under uncultured bacterium. Its description in RNAcentral is "partial 16S ribosomal RNA". It matches the Rfam family "Bacterial small subunit ribosomal RNA", at positions 524 to 776 of the family's 1533-position model. The record is from RNAcentral.
UACGGGGGGAGCAAGCGUUGUUCGGAUUUACUGGGCGUAAAGGGCGCGUAGGUGGUCGUGACAAGUCACUUGUGAAAUCUCCGGGCUUAACUCGGAACGGUCAAGUGAUACUGUCGGACUAGAGUACAGAAGGGGCAACUGGAAUUCUCGGUGUAGCGGUGAAAUGCGUAGAUAUCGAGAGGAACACCUGCGACGAAGGCGGGUUGCUGGGCUGAUACUGACGCUGAGGCGCGAAAGCCAGGGGAGCGAACGGG